RNAcentral lists this transfer RNA (71 nucleotides) under Bullanga florida. Its description in RNAcentral is "tRNA-Lys". The record is from RNAcentral. Lineage: Eukaryota; Metazoa; Arthropoda; Insecta; Neuroptera; Myrmeleontidae.
CAUUAGAUGACUGAAAGCAAGUAAUGGUCUCUUAAACCACAUAAUAGUAAAUUAGUGAUUACUUCUAAUGA